CGUUUCUCACGCUGGACUGCUCGUUGGGACCUCUACUAGACUCGCUCGUGAUUGAUCAGCUUCGCGGACGAUACCUUCCACUCCUCGACUCUCGACGCCUGUUUCCUCAGUCGCAGAUGCACUACAACGUGGAGAAACACACUCUCCUCAUCCUGCGCACCUGCGUGUGCAUGCAAACGUUACGGAAACGUCGAGGGAGAGA
This 202-nucleotide unclassified non-coding RNA is filed under the name Rhodotorula toruloides. The record is from RNAcentral. Lineage: Eukaryota; Fungi; Basidiomycota; Microbotryomycetes; Sporidiobolales; Sporidiobolaceae.